Molecule: ribosomal RNA, 27 nt
Filed under: Pyrenophora lolii
Lineage: Eukaryota; Fungi; Ascomycota; Dothideomycetes; Pleosporales; Pleosporaceae
Description: partial 28S ribosomal RNA
Source: RNAcentral
UUGACCUCCGAUCAGGUAGGGAUACCC